RNAcentral lists this long non-coding RNA (1037 nucleotides) under Buteo japonicus. Its description in RNAcentral is "lncRNA (ENSBJAG00000008940.1)". Lineage: Eukaryota; Metazoa; Chordata; Aves; Accipitriformes; Accipitridae. The record is from RNAcentral.
AAGGGAGGCCGCCGGCCGAAGCCAGCCCUGAAGAGCCGGAGCGGAGCCCGAGAGGCCCCGCUGACGGGACUGGGAGAAACGCUUCAGCGUUACACCGGAGGAGAUCACAGCUCCCGCAUUCUGCACGGACAGACAAACGCUUCUACUUAAUGAAGCACAGAUGCCCAGUGUAGAAGAAAUAAAGAAACCAUCUUCUGAUGAUCCUGAUUCUGACUCUAAAUUUGAGGAUGAACCAACAGAGGAAGAAACCCAGAAUGACACAUCCAGUACAGAAAUGCAAGAGGAGAUGCAAUCCAGUGGAUCUGUGGAAAAACUGAGGCCCAAGCCUGCUUAUCUGAGUUCAAAUGCAAAAAGCCAAAAGCAAAGUCUUUUUGCUGUAAUCUCAGACAGCUGGUCUCAGAGCCAGAAGAUAAGAUAUUCUCAGGUUGAGAAGAACAAUUUCUGUAACAUCGUGAUGCUGUUAUGCACCAUGCUUUCUUCUCUCACCUGGAACUUUGGCUGCCAGUUGCUCCAGAUCUCUAAUGUCCUGAGGAUUCAACUGCUGCCCUCCUCUCUGAUUAUCUACAUGGCUCAGCUGUUUGUUUUGCUGGGUGAAAAAGUUGUGAAAAUCCUGGGCUCCCUGAGGCUAGAGUUGGCUUCAGUCCUGGGGAGGAAACUGGAACAGAGUGACGAAGCUCAGAGAACCACCUCAGAGUGGAAAUAAAGCAGGUAGUCCCACGACUGUUAGUUAGCAGCAAUCUUGCUCAGCAUCAGUGAGAGCUACUGCAGCAUGGCAGAGGGAGGUAAAUUCUCUGAAAAGGAAACUUACUCGAGACUAAGUGGACAGGCACUUGGGUCACAACAGCUGCUUUCAGAGUGAACGGUAUUGACAGGCUAAAUAUUAAAUGGAUGACAGCAGCCAGCCUCUUGUCCAGUGCUUGGGUGUGUACCCUGCCCCCCUUCGACUUUACAGAGGGAUGAGUUCCUUUUUUCAUAAGGACCACAGUGAUACUCUCUGUUGACCAUUUUGAAAUCUUCGAGGCAAUAGCUCUUGGUAG